This 420-nucleotide ribosomal RNA is filed under the name uncultured bacterium. RNAcentral describes it as "bacterial SSU rRNA". It matches the Rfam family "Bacterial small subunit ribosomal RNA", at positions 357 to 774 of the family's 1533-position model. The record is from RNAcentral.
AGGAAUAUUGGUCAAUGGGCGGAAGCCUGAACCAGCCAUGCCGCGUGCAGGAAUAAGGCCCUAUGGGUCGUAAACUGCUUUUCCUUGAGGGCAAUAAGGGUCACGUGUGGCCCGAUGAGAGUAUCAGGGGAAUAAGCAUCGGCUAACUCCGUGCCAGCAGCCGCGGUAAUACGGAGGAUUCGAGCGUUAUCCGGAUUUAUUGGGUUUAAAGGGUGCGCAGGCGGGAUGUUAAGUCGGCGGUGAAAUUUUGCAGCGCAACUGUAAAAGUGCCUGCGAUACUGGCCUGCUGGAGUGUGGAUGAAGUAGGCGGAAUUUGUGGUGUAGCGGUCAAAUGCUUAGAUAUCACGAGGAACUCCGAUUGCGCAGGCAGCUUACUAAGCCACAACUGACGCUCAUGCACGAAGGCGUGGGGAUCAAACA